ACACGACUACAUUAGAUACCCGUGUAGUCCUAGCCGUAAACGAUACUCGCUAGGUGUCGGCCACGGUGCGACCGUUGUCGGUGCCGUAGGGAAGCCGUGAAGCGAGCCACCUGGGAAGUACGGCCGCAAGGCUGAAACUUAAAGGAAUUGGCGGGGGAGCACCGCAACGGGAGGAGCGUGCGGUUCAAUUGGAUUCAACGCCGAAAAACUCACCAGGAGCGACGGAUAUAUGAAGGUCAAGCUGAUGACUUUACCUGAUUUUCCG
Molecule: ribosomal RNA, 265 nt
Filed under: uncultured archaeon
Lineage: Archaea
Description: partial 16S ribosomal RNA
Rfam family: Archaeal small subunit ribosomal RNA
Source: RNAcentral